CUGAGAGUGACCUUUGGGUGGAGAUCCACAGGAAGGGGACGUUUAAGGCUGGGCUGGGGGAGUGCAGGGGAGAAUGUUCAAAGUGGAGGUGACUGGAUGGGCAAAGGCUUGAGCAAGGGCAAGCUUGAGGAGUCAAAGAACAAGAGAGGAAACCAGGGUGGGUACAGUACCAAGGGAAGCAAAGCGAGUUGGGCUGGAGUGGGUCAGGGCCAGGCCAUGUGGGGCCUCGCAGGCCUCAUGAAGGACUAUGAGAAUGAUGUGUUCUUCGUUUUUUUGAGACAGAGUCUCACUCUGUUCC
Molecule: long non-coding RNA, 298 nt
Filed under: Homo sapiens (human)
Lineage: Eukaryota; Metazoa; Chordata; Mammalia; Primates; Hominidae
Description: non-protein coding lnc-FAM83A-3:1
Source: RNAcentral